GGAUAAACGCUGAAGGCAUCUAAGCGUGAAGCCCCCCUCAAGAUGAGAUAUCCCAUACGCAAGUAGUAAGACCCCUUGAAGACGACGAGGUAGAUAGGGCAGAGGUGGAAGUGUGGCAACACAUGGAGCUGACUGUUACUAAUAGGUCGAGGGCAUAACCAAG
RNAcentral lists this ribosomal RNA (163 nucleotides) under Ruminococcus sp. OM05-10BH. RNAcentral's name for it is "partial 23S ribosomal RNA". It matches the Rfam family "Bacterial large subunit ribosomal RNA", at positions 2762 to 2925 of the family's 2925-position model. The record is from RNAcentral. Lineage: Bacteria; Bacillati; Bacillota; Clostridia; Eubacteriales; Oscillospiraceae.